GGAAGGAUCAUUAACAAGAAGAGGGGCUGAAGGCCGCAAGGCUGGAAGCCCCCAGGGUAGAAAGCCCCAGGACAAAGGCCGCGAGGCUGGAGCCAGGGGCAGGAAGCCCACAAGUCCUUCUGUCCAUGGAUUGCUCUAUGGACAGAUGCAAAGGAUAAGAUCCGUUUGUCCAAGGCAAGAUGUGUAGAUAUGAUAUGAUAUGAUGUAUCAUACCUGUGCAUUAUGUGCCUGGGAUGGAUGCGAUAUUAAAGCUUAAUAGUAUAGUUGUGGUAUAUGUAUCAAAAAGUAGAGUUUUAACAAUGGAUCUCUUGGCUCUUGCAUCGAUGAAGAACGCAGUGAAAUGCGAAAAGUAGUGUGAACUGCAAAAGUUGGGAAUCAUCAAAUCUUUGAACGCAAAUGGCGCCAAUGUAAAAAGUUGGCAUAUCCGACCGAGGGCCCCCCAAAACAAUCCAUCCAGGAAAUGGAGGGGAGAUGGCCAUGACCUGCAUAGGUAUAGGUACAAGUAUAUCUCUAUCUAUAUUUUGGGUCUUGGCUUGAAGGAGUAAUUAGGACCAAAGUUUGGAUCCAGGGAGGGAUAGGGAACGCAAGUUCUAAAAAUAUCUCUCUGGUUUGCAAAGCUCUGUCCACACGAGCCAUGCCUGCCGGCAUGUCUCGACUUUACAAUGGGCCUCGGAUUGGGUAGGAUUACCCGCUGAACUUAAGCAUAUCAGUAAGCGGAGGAAAAGAAACUAACAAGGAUUCCCCCAGUAACGGCGAGUGAAGAGGGAAGAGCCCGAGUUUGGAAUCGCCUUUUAGGAGGCGAGUUGUAACAGGGAAGGGAAUCGGUGCCUUGUCCAGCGUGUCCAAGACCCAUGGAAUGGGGCAUCACAGAGGGUGAGAAUCCCGUCUAGACACGCGGGGCAGGGUAUGAGGAUUCUCUUUUUGGGAGUCGAGUUGUUUGGGAAUGCAGCUCAAAGAAGGGUGGUAAAUCUCAUCCAAGGCUAAAUAUAGGCAAGAGACCGAUAGCGAACAAGUACCGUGAGGGAAAGAUGAAAAGCACCUUGAAAAGGGAGUGAAAAGCGCGUGAAAUUGUUAAAACGGAAACCAAGAGAGAUGGGCAAGAGACUUGGGAGGAGGGUCGGGAGUAGAAUCCCGGACCGAGGACCAAGUCACAGGGGGGGGCACCGGUGAUGGGGGAAAAGAGCAUGGGCAAGGUAGUCAGAACUAAGGAUCUGAUCAUAUAGGCCCAUGCUUGAACCCUGUCGGGGUGCCCAGAAAGGGAACUGGGAGAAGGCUAUUAGGGGUGGGAUCGCUUGGCUGGACUGCAUGCAGACCAAUCAAUUGAUUCGAUCACAAUGAGCCGGAUCCCAGUCCAACACCUCCUCCGCUCACACUCUUGGACCCGUCUUGAAACACGGACCAAGGAGUCAAAUUAGAGUGCAAGUAUUUGGGUGGCAAACUCGAAUGCGCAACAAACGUGAAAGUGUGGGAGCCACCUUUAAAAAGCGGCGCACCACGACCAGUGUCUGAAUCCAUAAUUCAGGCACCGGCUCAGCACUCACAUUUGGACCCGAAAGAUGGUGAACUAUGCCUGUAGAGGAUGAAGCCAGAGGAAACUCUGGUGGAGGUCCGUCGCCGUUCUGACGUGCAAAUCGAUGGCUAGAUCUGGGCAUAGGGGCGAAAGACUAAUCGAACCAUCUAGUAGCUGGUUCCCUC
RNAcentral lists this unclassified non-coding RNA (1695 nucleotides) under uncultured fungus. Its description in RNAcentral is "sequence contains 18S rRNA gene, ITS1, 5.8S rRNA gene, ITS2, 28S rRNA gene". The stretch from base 665 to 1695 matches the Rfam family "Eukaryotic large subunit ribosomal RNA", at positions 1 to 961 of the family's 3401-position model. Lineage: Eukaryota; Fungi. The record is from RNAcentral.